Molecule: unclassified non-coding RNA, 5309 nt
Filed under: Hevea brasiliensis (rubber tree)
Lineage: Eukaryota; Viridiplantae; Streptophyta; Magnoliopsida; Malpighiales; Euphorbiaceae
Source: RNAcentral
AGGCGAUACCCAAUUUCGAGACUGAUAAGCUUUCAGGUACUUUCUCAUGGACUCCACUGCAACAACUUGAUGUAAGUUCAAUGCUUGGUUUGGGGAAUAAGCAUCCUAAUAUAAAGAACUUGCAGAGAGUGCAAGGCUACAGCAAAUUAACAGUUGUGGGGACAGAUAUAAGUUAAAAAAUGAUCAAAUUUUGAUACUGCCACAUUGUGCAGCAGAAUUGAUGCUCGAGGACCCUAUAGACUUAACAGUGAUAUUAAGGAGGAUAAAGGUAUGGAUUGUGUUUUUAGGUGAACAUGUUCUAAUAUUCUUGUGUAGAGUUUGGUGCUUUUGCCAGUGUUAUUCUUUAUGCAUAAAUUCUCUUGUGGGUUAGUGGGUAUAUCGAAAUUUGAAGUGGUAACAGAACAUUGCAUUUAUCAAUUUUCCAUGAAGUCUUUUCACUUUAAGAUUGGCCUAAAGGUCUCAAAUAGAUCUGCUGGGCUAGUUUACGUUCUCUACCAUUCAGACUUACUGGCCACGAACUAAUUCUAAACGCGGUUGAACAGUUCUCAGAUCUCUCAUCUCUGAGUAGACUCGAACCAAAAACUAUGUGGUCAACAAUUGUGCUAUUAACAAUUCUACUUCCAUUAAAUUAGGUGUGUUGUUCUGACGAUCAUACCCGUGCAUAUUUUUUACAUUUGUAUGGCUAGAGAACAGACUUCCACAACGACCAUAUCGACAGACAAUGACCAUAUCGACAGACAAUGACCCAUGGAUAGCUUUUCGAUGAUAUAUACAAUACUCUCACAUGUUAUUUCAAUGUCUGCCUCUGCCUAAUUGCUUUUACCUCUCUUCUAGACAAUUUCUCUUCCUGCCUAUCCACUCUUUCCUCUGCAACCUUGCUGGCUAACUGUUGCAGCAGUUCUAAAAUUUCAGAGAAAUCAGGUCUUAAAGAUGGGUCUGUCUGCCAGCAUCUCUCAAACAGUUCCACCAAUUUAGGAUGAGUAUGCUUUGGGAUAGAAGGCCUCAAACCCUGCUGGACCACACCAACAGCCGCUUGUAGUGGGGUUAAGUGCUCAUAUGGAAGCUUUCCUGUAAGCAGCUCCCACAACACAAUGCUGAAGCUGAAAACAUCAACUUUAUGAUCAUAAGGCUUAUGCUCAAUAACCUUUUUACGCAUCAAACACCAAACAAACAUGCAUUAGACAGCCGGGAUAAACAACCAAAGGCACAAAACAUUAAUCAAUCAUCAUCAAGCCAUUUUGUUCAUAAUAAAAUCUAAGUUAUAGAGCUUGCUACUAUAAAAUUAUAAAAAUUUGAAUUACUAUAAGUUCAUGGUUUGGAAGCAUCCAGUCCAGUAUGCAUAAAGAAAUCCAUUGAGGGCAUUACUCCAAUAAAGUAUCAGAGGAAUCAUGCAUUCAUGCUUCCAAGAAACUUCCAUGACUAGUAAAAUUAGCACUAAAUCUAAUUCUCAACUAAAUCACAAAGCAAUGAGGAUAUUGCUGCAUCCAGCUUAAGUCCCGAUUAUUGUUCAGUCCAUUCGUUGUUAAAUCCAAAAUCAAAGACUCACUACCUCAACCUAAACACUGUAAUUUGUGCGAGCCAGUGGAUUUCACCAUCUAUUGUUAUUUGCUUCAAGUUUGCACCAUGCCCAAAUUCAGGAGUCUCUAAUCCUUUAUGUGCUCAUGCAAUCAUUCAAAAUUAACACAAAUAUAGUUUAGUUGCCCUCAAAUAAUUUGGUACUUGGUAGAAGCUCAGAAUUAUAGGCUCAUUCCUCUUUAAUUUCGCUUUGAGAGUUCUAGUAGCUUGGAGUCACACAAACCAUUUACUGAGGGCAGUUGGUUCUCCAAUCUGCAUCAUACUCACUAGCACCUUUAUAGCUACCCGUAUGACAACUUGAUAUUAGCAAUAAUCUUGCAUUAUGGUCAACAUUCAUUUAUGAGCACACGUAGAACACCAACCUCUGGAGCCAUCCAGCGAUAUGUUCCGGUUUCUGCUGUCAUCACACUAGACUGAUCUUGUACUCUAGCAACGCCAAAAUCAGCAACCUUAACCACUUCAUUUUCAUCCAUGAGAAGAUUUGCAGCCUUCAAAUCUCUGUGGAUUAUAUUAUUUUGGUGCAAGUAGCUCAUUCCUUUAGAAACAUCUAUUGCCACUUUAAGUAGGGAUGGGGGCUUAAAGACACCCUUCUGUUUGUGUAGGUAGUCGUAGACACUUCCACCUGACAUAAAUUCUGUUACAAUGCACAAACUUGGAGGCUUCGUACAUGCACCUAUAAACUGUACAACAUUCUUAUGCCGAACCUUCCUCAUUAUGAAGACUUCCUGGGCAAACUCUUUCUGCAUAUCCGAAUCUAUACGCUCAGGUUUGAGGACUUUAAUAGCUACUUCCUGACUACAGUACGUACCCUUGUACAGAUCACCAUAUGAUCCAGAUGCAACUUUGUUUUCAAUUUUUAACUGACUGCUAUCAAUUUCCCAGACAUCAGUUCCAUCACUAGGUAUUUCUAUGCAGUCAGGAAAAGAUUCGACCCUCAUUUCAUUCUGCUUGCUCGCAGCAGAAACAGAAGCUUGUUUUGAACAACUCUGCUCCUGCAGAAGAUUACAAUUUAUCAAAACUAUGCCAUAAUUUUGCUUCAGGUUGAUCUAUCAUAUGGUACUGCAAAAGAGUCGAACUGAACUUUUUAGCCAUGCAAAAGUUAAUAUUCAGAGCUCAAUACUGGCUGUCAUAAUGAUCCUGUUCAUCAGUGAUGCUAUAAGGAAAUUAUCUCAAAUGCAGAAUCCUAUCUGAUUUCCAUGAUCCACAAUCAGUGGCACACUGGUUCCAGGAAUUACAACAUUAUAAAACAAAACAAACCCCAAUGAGAUACACAGAACAUUGUAAGUUAAUUAUUUGAAGGGUCUAAUCUAGUCGAACUCUCAGCACAAAAUUCAUAAAUGUUUUCAACGUUUCAAGAACCAGAAACAAACAAAAUUUGCAGUUCUGAAUAAAAUGAUCAAGGACUAUAUUCAUAAAUUACUUAUUUAAAAACGAUUAUCACAAUUGCAAUGAGUUCACCACCUCACUAGUUGCCACAUAUACUGGGAAACAAACAAGGACCAAAAUAACAUAUCUAAAUGUGCUUCAAUUGAACAUUAAAAAACUUCAAGAAUACAUGGUGAAGUAAAAAUGAAGCAACCACUUUAUAAGCACCAACACUAGUCAUUCAUAUCAUCUGAGGUCCCUUAGGGAUGACUGAACUCAACCCCAAUUUGGUUGGGGAGGUUUACUACAUCAACGACAAUCAGCUCUGUUUAGGGUCAUACUUUCCAGCAUCUGCUGAGUUCAAAGUUGCCUAAGAUAUACAUUAAUUACAAGAAAGGUUGUUAGCACCACACAUCAACAAAUAAAUACACAGGUUUAUUCAGCUAGAAUACUAAUAUAGCAUUGCAAAUUUCAAACAAUCAAGAACAUAUCGUAUUCAAGUUCUAGAGGUGCACAGUUGUAACCCCCCAAAAGACAAAGCAGCAUGGAGAAAAACUACCUUAAACUUUAAGAUUUCCUUUUCAAGAGCAUUUUUAAGCUCCUCAGUUUCCUGAAGUUUCCAUAUGCAAUUAUGUGAAGCAACACAGAAAUGUGAACAAAAAGGCGUUAGUCUGGCAAUUAGCUUACUAUUAUUAUUCAAAAUAAUAAAAAUAAGCUUGUUUACCUAAGCAAGAAAAGGUUUAAACACAAACGAAUCACUGUUAAACAGCCAAGUACAACGAAAAAAGUAAAAGUGGUCUGAAGACAACAUCAAACAAUUUAAUGGAAUUUUAUUUUAUGGAUAAUGAGAACCUAAAAAUACUAAUGAAGGCUGACAGUUUCAAAGUCAUCUCUUAAUUCAACUUUGACUUAAAACCAAAUUCAACAAUAUUGGAAUUUCCAUGCUCAAUUGAAUAUAUUACAGUUAUGUCUCUUAUUUGGUGAAUAAAAUAAUCAAAACCUGAACAUGUGCAAAGAUUUGGAAAUUAUAAUUGAAGGGUAACAUUCUUCUGCAGUUCUACAAUGAGGCUGCUCAAAUUAGAACUGUUAAGUGGAUCUAAAAGAAUACAGAAUCAUGGGUCAGGAUGUUAGCAUAGCAAACAAACGAGCAGAUGAAAACAACCAAACAGAAAGAGAAGAGAGGAAAAAAGAAAAAGAAAAAGAAACCCAAAAAUUUUCAAAUCAAGAUUAUAAUUUCAACAAUCUAGUAAUGUGUGUGAUGUCAAUAAAAAUAAAAAUUUUAUUUGCACAUAUUUGAGUUGCCAUCUUAAGUUGUUACUUUGAUCAUCCUUCAUACCUUUUGGAUUAGCCCAAUUGUCUUUAAGAGAAAUCUAAUGAAAAUCCAACUGCCUAACAAAUACUUCAAUAGGACAAUUUAAGCAAAUAAGUAGAUGCCUUACCUCUCGUGGCCAACCAUCAACAACAAACACAUCCAAAGAAAACCCAUCAACAGUGGAAAAAGCAUGAGCUUCUUGAAUGUUCAAUCCAAUCUCCGCAACCAAGAAGGUCAACUCACUAAGGAGUUUUGGCCUAUCAACUGUUGAAAAAGUGAUCUCGUGCAUAGGCCGAGAAAGAUGUGAUACUGAAUUUACUGCACUAUCUCCAUCUUCCAGACGAUAUCUGCUGGCUUGAAAUGCAAAUGCUUCAAGAGUAGGUGUUGAGCCAAAUGUAGGUGGUGGAUGGACACUCUGUCUGCUUGGCAUAUAAGAACUUUGUGCAUCUUCUUUCAUUGCACAAUCUGAAAGGAUAGAAUCAAAAGACAUUUCAUUGAGGACAGGAUAAACCUGCACAAGACGAACUUCAAAUGCAGGUCGAUUAGCAGGAUCUUCCGCCAACUGCAAUAGUCUCUUAUGCGUAAGCACAUCUUCUGCUCUCUCCACAUUCACAUCCAAUGCAUAUCUCGCAGGUAAUCGAUUGAAAUGGAGCCAAAGCUGAUCAUCAAAGCCAGGAAGAUUCGCCUCUUCAUAAUUGAACUCCUGGAUUCGCCUAAGCACCUCGUUAUACACCUCUAGCUUUUGCAUAUGGUGUCGAGGAUUCGCCUGCGAGUACGACUCCACUGCUCUACUUCCACAGCUCUCUACGUCCUCUUCAAUCGCCAUUAUUUGGAUAAAGAAACGACAACUCGCUCAAACCAGUAAAGCAAAAUAAAAUAAUAAUUAAAAUUGUAGUAAAAAUGAAUUAAGAGAGCUCAAUCAAAAAAAGGUGGAUCGCACAUGGCGGUGGCAGUUGCGGUGGUUGUUGUGGCGGUGGUGGAUGAAUUCGACAAAUAGAAGAGGGAAAGGGAGAGCUCAACAACAAAAGGCCGAAUGGUGAUGCUUUUUUUUUUUUUU